Molecule: ribosomal RNA, 533 nt
Filed under: Cladosporium herbarum
Lineage: Eukaryota; Fungi; Ascomycota; Dothideomycetes; Cladosporiales; Cladosporiaceae
Description: eukaryotic LSU rRNA
Rfam family: 5.8S ribosomal RNA (bases 177-330)
Source: RNAcentral
UGACCUGCGGAGGGAUCAUUACAAGAACGCCCGGGCUUCGGCCUGGUUAUUCAUAACCCUUUGUUGUCCGACUCUGUUGCCUCCGGGGCGACCCUGCCUUCGGGCGGGGGCUCCGGGUGGACACUUCAAACUCUUGCGUAACUUUGCAGUCUGAGUAAACUUAAUUAAUAAAUUAAAACUUUUAACAACGGAUCUCUUGGUUCUGGCAUCGAUGAAGAACGCAGCGAAAUGCGAUAAGUAAUGUGAAUUGCAGAAUUCAGUGAAUCAUCGAAUCUUUGAACGCACAUUGCGCCCCCUGGUAUUCCGGGGGGCAUGCCUGUUCGAGCGUCAUUUCACCACUCAAGCCUCGCUUGGUAUUGGGCAACGCGGUCCGCCGCGUGCCUCAAAUCGUCCGGCUGGGUCUUCUGUCCCCUAAGCGUUGUGGAAACUAUUCGCUAAAGGGUGUUCGGGAGGCUACGCCGUAAAACAACCCCAUUUCUAAGGUUGACCUCGGAUCAGGUAGGGAUACCCGCUGAACUUAAGCAUAUCAAUAA